UGCUCAGGAAGUACGGCGGCAACAAGAAGAGACAGGCGCCGGCCUACUUCGAGGACCUGUACCGCCAGAGUCUGGCCGUGUCGAUGCGGCCCGGCUCCGAGCUGGAGAAACUGGCCGCCCUGGUGGAGCAGAUUCGCCUGGCGCAGAAGCACUCCUGACCGUUCCGUCCGUGGCUCGAGGGUCUAGCCGCAGCCGAGUUGGGCCUUGUCUUACCUC
This is a long non-coding RNA of Pollicipes pollicipes, 216 nucleotides long. RefSeq lists it as uncharacterized. The transcript has 3 exons. NCBI's taxonomy places the organism in Eukaryota, Metazoa, Arthropoda, Thecostraca, Pollicipedomorpha, Pollicipedidae. The record is from RefSeq and is a predicted model, not a curated record.